CGGAGGGUGCAAGCGUUAUCCGGAUUUACUGGGUUUAAAGGGUGUGUAGGCGGACUUUUAAGUCAGCGGUGAAAUCUCCGGGCUCAACCCGGAAACUGCCAUUGAUACUAUUGGUCUUGAAUGUUGUUGAGGUGGGCGGAACGGGUCAUGUAGCGGUGAAAUGCAUAGAUAUGACCCGGAACACCGAUCGCGUAGGCAGCCCACUAAGCAACGAUUGACGCUGAGGCACGAAAGCGUGGGGAUCAAACAGGAUUAGAUACCCUGGUAGUCCACGCCCUAAACGAUGAUUACUCGACGUUGGCGAUACACUGAUCAGCGUCCAAGCGAAAGCAUUAAGUAAUCCACCUGGGAAGUACGUUCGCAAGAAUG
RNAcentral lists this ribosomal RNA (369 nucleotides) under uncultured organism. RNAcentral's name for it is "bacterial SSU rRNA". It matches the Rfam family "Bacterial small subunit ribosomal RNA", at positions 526 to 896 of the family's 1533-position model. The record is from RNAcentral.